This 1787-nucleotide long non-coding RNA is filed under the name Sus scrofa (pig). RNAcentral's name for it is "lncRNA (ENSSSCG00055025933.1)". The record is from RNAcentral. Lineage: Eukaryota; Metazoa; Chordata; Mammalia; Artiodactyla; Suidae.
GCAGACUCUGUGAAUGAAGACCCAUGCAGCAAAGAACUAGAGGCAUCUGAAGACCUUCCUUAGGGAGCCAAGUCCCUUAUGUUCUUGAAAAAUGCUCAAAGAACAAAGCAGGCACAUACAGGGAUAAAUUGAGCCUGAUUAUACCCUCCAAAGUGAAAGGGGAAAAAAAUUCCAAAUUCUGCACAAAGAAAGUAUGUGGUCAGAUUUGGUGGCAGUGUUGGGACCCAAAGUGAACUUCUGCUGGCUUUUGAGGACAAUGAGAAACACAGGUGUUUUACCAGUGAAUCCCUUUUUGAGUUCACUCUCUUUCUUGCUGUUUCUGAGGGCUGUGGGUUUUGAUUACUUAAGAAAAUUGAGUCUUUUCUAUUAAAAAAGGUUUAAGAAAAUCUUUUUCUCUUUUCUCUUAAUGUUAUCAGCAAAUUUGUAAGAUAUGGCUUUGUAAAAAAAAGAUGAAUCGUUUACUAUUCUCCCUUCCUGAUCUCUCCAGAAUUUAGAAACUCCUAGAUAUUCUUUUCAUAGCUAUAUAGUUAAUUAUUUACAUAUGUUUGAUAAUAAUAUGUUCUCCUUGUUAUAAACAGAAUUGGAACAUUGGUUAUAUUACCAAAGCUUUAACUGAAAUGUCAUAUAUGAGAAAGAUAGGCAUAAAACUCAGAUGUGACCAGUUAGCUUUAAGGAACUAAGGUUGACUUUUAUGGAGACAAUAAAGCCCUGGACUCAGAGGUUUUUAAGAGUUCAAUCUAAAAUUCCUUAUGAAAAGUUUUAACAAAGCAAUCUUAAAAAGAUUUCAUGUGGUUGAUCACUAUUCUUGUUUCACUUACAUAAAAAUCAGCUCAAAUUUUAUGCAAGCAUAUUUUUAUUGUAAUUAUCCUUAAAAAGUGGGGGUAAUUAUAGAGAGAAAAAUUAUGUUUUCAUAGUCUAGUCCUGUUAAUUGUCAUUAAGGUUUUGUUAUAUACCUGUAAACUGGACUGGAUCCUGAAUUCUUCUAGUUUUGUAAAAAUCUGGCUAUGAAAUCUCCAAACUAAUGUUUCCAGUUUUCUUCCACCUUUCUUAUUUGAAAUCAAGAAGAAUAAAAACUGACUUUGAUAUUUUAUACCAAGUUCUCACUAAACUUUAAGGAUGGACUUGAGACUUGAGUACUCAUCUCAUAGCUGAGGAGGACUCUUUCUGACAUCUGGUGCUAUGCAGAUGCUGGAGACUUCAGAAUCAAAUUGCUGAGGAAAAGAAAUAGUUGGCACCAAUGCAGACUGCUUCCUUCCAAGGUGCCAGAUCAAGAAGUCAUUCUCCAGAUGCAAACUAGUGUACAUAGGAUGAAUAAACAAUGAGGUCCUGGUUAGUAGUACAAACUAUUGCAUUUGGAGUGGAUAAGCAAUGAAAUCCUGCUGUAUAGCCCAAGGAACUAUAUCUGACCACUUGUGAUGGGACAUCAUAGAGGAUAAUGUAAAAAAAGAACAUGUGUGUGUAUAUGUGUAUGUUACUUUGCUGUACAGAAGAAAUUGACAGAACAUUAUAAAUAAACUAUAAUAAAAAAUUCCAUAAUCAGGCAGUUGAUGGAAAUGAUAAUCACAGAUGGUUAAUAACUGGAUGUGCAAACUAUUGUAUUUGGAGUGAUAAACAAUGAGUUCCUUCGGUAUAGCACAGGGAACUAUAUCCAGUCACUUGUGAUGGAACAUGAUGGAGGAUAAUGUGAGAAAAAGAAUGUAUAAUAUGUGUAAAUGAGCCACUUUUGCGUAUAGCAGAAAUUGACAGAACAUUGUAAAUCAAUUAUAAUAAACAUAAAUUAUAAAAAA